Prunus avium (sweet cherry) is the source of this 321-nucleotide long non-coding RNA. RefSeq lists it as uncharacterized. NCBI's taxonomy places the organism in Eukaryota, Viridiplantae, Streptophyta, Magnoliopsida, Rosales, Rosaceae. The record is from RefSeq and is a predicted model, not a curated record.
UCUCAUCGGUCUUCUUGUGGAUUAAGCCCAUUCAUUGCGUAUUGUUAUGUAUCGGGCCAGACCACAGCCUUCUCUUUUCUGUCCUCUACAGUGGAGUCUGCACUGGUGCUUAAUAGUCGUCCGAUUCAGUGCAGAUUUAUUAUUGAAUUGUUGGAUUCAACCUCAUUGUAACCCCUCAAUAAAACCCCUCAUUUUAGAAGCUCCCUGUCUUCUAUGAUAUUUGGGCCCUUCACUAUUUGAGUUUUGAGCCCUGCUUGCAAUCACUAGCUUGGCCUUUGAUAGAACAUACAAGGGCAUCAUUAAAGGUUGCACAAUGAGGAA